GAUGAACGCUAGCGGCAGGCCUAAUACAUGCAAGUCGAGGGGCAGCGGGGUAGCAAUACUGCCGGCGACCGGCGCACGGGUGCGUAACACGUAUGCAACCUACCUUAAACUGGGGAUAGCCCGGGGAAACUCGGAUUAAUACCCCAUAACACGGCGAUGCCUCAUGGCAAUGUCGUUAAAAGAUUUA
This 187-nucleotide ribosomal RNA is filed under the name uncultured Bacteroidota bacterium. Its description in RNAcentral is "uncultured Bacteroidetes bacterium partial 16S ribosomal RNA". It matches the Rfam family "Bacterial small subunit ribosomal RNA", at positions 28 to 212 of the family's 1533-position model. The record is from RNAcentral. Lineage: Bacteria; Pseudomonadati; Bacteroidota.